GUUAGGAAUAUUCGUCAAUGGGGGAAACCCUGAACGAGCAAUGCCGCGUGAAGGAUGACGGUCCUAUGGAUUGUAAACUUCUGUUGUUAGGGAAGAACGACCUAAGUAGGAAAUGACUUAGGAGUGACGGUACCUUUCAAGAAAGCUCCGGCUAACUACGUGCCAGCAGCCGCGGUAAUACGUAGGGAGCGAGCGUUAUCCGGAUUUAUUGGGUGUAAAGGGUGCGUAGGCGGCUUCUUAAGUCUGUAGUCUAAGCCCGGAGCUUAACUCCGGUUCGCUACAGAAACUGAUUAGCUUGAGUAUGGUAGAGGCAAGUGGAAUUUCUAGUGUAGCGGUUAAAUGCGUAGAUAUUAGAAGGAACACCAGUGGCGAAGGCGACUUGCUGGGCCAUUACUGACGCUGAGGCACGAAAGCGUGGGGAGCAAAUAGGAUUAGAUACCCUAGUAGUCC
This 450-nucleotide ribosomal RNA is filed under the name uncultured Mollicutes bacterium. RNAcentral describes it as "bacterial SSU rRNA". It matches the Rfam family "Bacterial small subunit ribosomal RNA", at positions 354 to 796 of the family's 1533-position model. The record is from RNAcentral. Lineage: Bacteria; Bacillati; Mycoplasmatota; Mollicutes.